RNAcentral lists this ribosomal RNA (339 nucleotides) under Triticum aestivum (bread wheat). Its description in RNAcentral is "partial small subunit ribosomal RNA". Lineage: Eukaryota; Viridiplantae; Streptophyta; Magnoliopsida; Poales; Poaceae. The record is from RNAcentral.
AUGCAAGCCCUGUUGCCCAUAGUCUCUGAUGAGACUGGACAAUGCAAGCCAUUAUAUUCUAGUUUCAUGCAUAAUUUUCUAGACCAAUUGCAGCCCAAAAAGAGAACUUUCUAUAUGGCCAACAAAGAUGCUCUUUAUCCUUGGGUACACAUUUGUACUCAGAUUAAAUCUGCUCCCAUAGCGUAUCAUGGCACAGAGUUGCCCAGUUACCAGCAAAUACAACAUUCAUCAUGCAGCCGAAAGUUUACCUUGACAGAUGGUUUCACCAGUAAGAUCUCCAAAUCACAACCACAGAACAAUGUGAUUCGAGAAAACACAGCACAGAACAACGGCCUCUGA